UGGGGAAUCUUGCGCAAUGGCCUAACGGCUGACGCAGCGACGCCGCGUGAGGGAUGACGCUCUUCGGAGUGUAAACCUCUUUUGCCUGAGACGAAUUGCCAGCUUUAGCUGGUUUGACUGUAUCGGGUGAAUAAGCACCGGCUAACUCCGUGCCAGCAGCCGCGGUAAUACGGGGGGUGCGAGCGUUGUCCGGAAUCACUGGGCGUAAAGGGCGCGUAGGUGGCCUGAUAAGGGUGUGGUGAAAGUCCGGGGCCCAACCCCGGAUCGGCCGUGCCGACUGUUGGGCUAGAGUACUGUAGGGGCAGGCGGAAUUCCGGGUGUAGCGGUGGAAUGCGUAGAGAUCCGGAGGAAGACCGGUGGCGAAGGCGGCCUGCUGGGCAGUUACUGACACUGAGGCGCGACAGCGUGGGGAGCAAACAG
RNAcentral lists this ribosomal RNA (420 nucleotides) under uncultured bacterium. RNAcentral's name for it is "bacterial SSU rRNA". It matches the Rfam family "Bacterial small subunit ribosomal RNA", at positions 355 to 775 of the family's 1533-position model. The record is from RNAcentral.